UAUAAUGUUUUAACUCUUCGUCUUAUUUGAAAUAUUUUUGUGAUUAAUGUUUUUAUUAUUACUAGAUGAUAAAAUAUGAAUAGUACUUUAUACAUGACUAUUUUUUUAAAAUUUUUGUACAAAUUUUUCAAAUAAGACUAAUGGUCAAACGUUGAACACAGAAAAAC
This 167-nucleotide microRNA precursor is filed under the name Oryza brachyantha (malo sina). RNAcentral's name for it is "MIR812 microRNA precursor family". It matches the Rfam family "MIR812 microRNA precursor family", at positions 27 to 190 of the family's 205-position model. Lineage: Eukaryota; Viridiplantae; Streptophyta; Magnoliopsida; Poales; Poaceae. The record is from Rfam by way of RNAcentral.